AUACAAAGACUACAAAUAUGCUAACCAAGUUUCUAGUAUUACUUUAUGUUUCAAAUUAUGCUGGCCAUCCAGAGUCUGCAUCUGACUGACAAGCUACAUGGAGUGAGCCAGAAUAUCUCUGAUAUAUUAUAUGUCUCUGAUAUAUUUAGCAUAAAACAAGGACUUUUCUGUGUCUUUUAUUGCUGGUUCCUUAAUUUACAAACAAUCAUCAAGAUGAUAAAUUUAUGUGAUUCCUACCGUGGGUUCAUGAGAGUGACAUUAACUCUUUUCAGUCUGUGUGUGUGUUUAAGUGUGUGUGUCAUACACAUACACACACACAUAUGUAUAUACACACACACACGUAUGUAUGUAGGUAGGUAAAUGUAUAUAUAAAUUAUGCAGACAAGAUCAUGUCCUUCCAAAUUAUUAGAGGGUGUGGCAGAUAUGAUAUCAUGAAAAGAAUUCAGUGAAGGAACUCUGUAUGCAAAAUGCCUUUUUAAAUGUCCAGAACCCCUAGGCAGUGACCAUAUUUUGAUGCUAACAUACUCUUUCCCUUGGAUUCUAAUGGUAUGUGCCAAUUCUCUAAUGGGAACCUACUGCGAAGGUCAGAAUGCUUAUAGAAGUCGUUUAGAAGUUACGCUGGAGAAGUUCCUACUGUGGCACAGCAGGUUAAGGAUCCAGCGCUCUCUCUGCAGUGGCCCAGUCGCUGCUGAGGCUGGGAUUCGAUCCCUAGCCCAGCCCAGAGCUGUGGAUCAGAGGAUCCAGGGUUGCAGCGGCCGUGGCGUAGGUCACAGCUGCAGCUUGCAUUUGAUCCCCGGCCCCGGAACUCCAUUCGCCAGGGGUGCAGCCCAAAGAAAAGAGUUACAUCGGAUGUUAAAUAUGUAUCAAACUACAGACGUUAAACCAAAAGGAAUAACCUACUAUUCUUUACGAAAGUCCAAAUAGCAUAACCGACUACUAUUGGUGAGUUUAAAAUACUCGAGAUUACUUUUGGAAGGUCUACAGCAGGCUCCAAAGAUGCUUUGUCUCAUCAGUACUGAUAUGUCAUAGCAAGAACAGCUUUCUUUUAAAAGCAGAAGUAGAUUUUAAAAGUAGAUUUCCCGGUAGCUCACUGGGUUAAGGAUCCAGCGUGGUCCCUGCUGUGGCCAGAUUCAAUCCCUGGCCUGGGAACUUUCGCAUGCCAUGGGCGCAGCCAAAAAAACCCAAGAACCUUUUGUAGAAGCAGCCGAAAUCCUCUGCAAGGCCUCCUGACUCCUUUUUCUAGUUUUUCUCCACUUUCGUUGGAGUGGGAGAUUGUUUUGAUUUUUAUUAAUUUCCACUCUUUUCAGUGGGAUCUAUAUGGAUGGGGAACUUGGCUCAGUUUUGCUCGAAUUCUCUCAACCCAGGAGGUCGGGACAAGGGGAAGGGAGGGCCAGUGCGUGCCAUGCAGUGAGGAGAAUGCACAUCGCAUGUGUGUGUGUAACUGAGUCACUUGGCUGUAAACCAAGUAUAUCCUUCAAUCGAUACGUCUUUAAAAUACGGCAGACCUAAUGCGAGUUGGCACCUUCAUCUUCUUCCAUCUAUAGGAAGAUGGAAACUUGGGGGAUGGACUUUAAGUGUGAAACAGACCACCUCGGGGAGCAGCACGGGGACAGCUGCCGGAGCCCGUGGUCCCAGCCCCGCUCCCCAGCUGCUGCGUGGCUCCCAGGAGACAGCACCCUUCCCGUCCCAUCUCUGUGGCCCUCACCAGCCUGCAGGUCUGGAGUCCCUGGACCAUCACACCUGUCGGCUGGCAGGUACCUGUCAACGCAUGGCUUUUGUGGAUGGGCUGGCACCCCCGGGGCCGUGCUGCCCAGCUUCCAUCCCCAUUCCGCUGUUCCCCUGCAUAGGGCACGAGAAAAGAGGACAGUCAGAUGUAAUCCUACCACACAGCAAAGGGGCUCUUUCCAAGGCGUGAAGGCAGCGUCUCCAGGACCCCGGAUGGCAAGCCCAGGACAGAGGCUCUAUGAGACCAAGGGAAGGCUUCUUGUCUCCAGCUGGUGUUGCUGGCCAUGGCCGGCAGCUCCUCUCACCUGCUGGCAGCGAAGGGGCGGUGGGGGGCGGGGGGCGGUGAUGUUUAGCUUCUCACCACGUCAGACCAGCUGGUUUCACGAUCACAGCGGAUAACUCCGACAUCCAGCCUUGCCGUUCCAGACAGAAGAAACACUCAGCUGUUGAUCUGGGUAUUCUGUCAGGGUCUGAGAAAAUAUUUACACCCUACCUGGGCCCAAAUAGCUAAUGACUUUGUCUUCCUGCUUCUGGAUUCUUCCCCGAGUUUACACAUUUCAACAUAAACUUGAGAGAACUGACAGACACCAGGACCAAGUAACACGUGCACGAAAGCCAAAGAUCUCAGGGUGUCAUCUUACCGCCGUGUUAAGACCACAUGUCUGCCUCGCCGGACAGAUCAGAAGCAACCAUCAUUUCAAACGUCUGCACGGGGGCCAUGCCACUCCUGGCUCCAGCCACCUUCACAGUUAGGAAAUCUAUGGUUCCCCAGUGAAAAUGCUCCAUCGUGUUCUGGGUCGAAGCUUUGCUGCUCUCCAGGGUAACCAAACCCAGUGUGUUAAUUCUUUUUGGUGGUUUUCUGCUGCCUCGGUCAUAGGCUAAGUGCUUUGGUCUCUCCAUCGGCUAAGAAAGACUAUAAAAGGGUAACCCUCAUGCUGCAUGAAUCAACACCACGGAGAAGGGCAGAAGAAACCCCUCCACACAUCUUAUUUGUAUCAUGUAUGUGUUUACUCACGCCUUUGAUUUCUAGCUUGUUUGCCUUUCAGAGGAAAGCCAAUGAAAAUACCUAAAGGCGGCUUCGCAGCCCUGUCACGACUUCAGUUCUCUUAGGAGUCGCAAUUCCCAUCUCUCUCUACUUACCCUGGGUUCUGCAUGUUCUAUAUUUAUAAUUCAUUUUGUUUCAUGGCCCCACUUGCAGCAUAUGGAAGUUCCUGGGCUGGGGAUCGAGUUGGAGCUGCAGCUGCCGGCCUACACCACAGCCACAGCCAUGCAGGAUCUGAGCCACCUCUGCGACCUUGGCCCCAGCUCAUAGCCACACAGAAUCCUCCACCCACUGAGAGAGGCCAGGGACUGAACCCGCAUCCUCAUGGAGACAACACUGGGUUCUUAACCUGCUGAGCCACAACGGGAGCUCCUAUAAUUCACUUUCUAUCUAUAUAGGCACUUUCUAUGACCCUAAGGAAGUCAUUGGUGUAUCUUGCUGGCUUCUGGUACUUAUUUUCCGUGGUCCUGUUGUUACCCAGCCAGACUCGGGCCCACUCGCCAGCUCCAGCGAAGCCAGUCUCCUGGCACAGGGUUGCGAUGAAGGAAAGUGCAGCGGUUACUGUAGGGCACUGAGCAAGGAGAAGGGGCAGCCGGUGCUCAAAACACCCUGGAGGAUGGGCCUCGGGAGGCAUUUUUAAAGGACAGGGAGGGAGAGGGGGAGGCGGCGCGACCACAGGGUGAACAUCUCCAGCCCCAGGUUCCAAUAGGUCUGGGGGCUAGAGCUCAAGGUCCCCUGGCAGCUAACCUCCUCCCUUUGGUGGGGUCUGGGGCCUGUAAAGGAGCGCAGGGCUCUUGUUCUGCGUGUGCCCUGAGGAGGACCCAGGACCCUGCUCCAAUCACCGCCCUGCUGUCCCUCCUGCUUUAACCAAUCACCGCCCUGCUGUCCCUCCUGCUUUACCCAAUCACCGCCCUGCUGUCCCUCCUGCUUUAACCAAUCACCGCCCUGCUGUCCCUCCUGCUUUACCCAAUCACCGCCCUGCUGUCCCUCCUGCUUUACCCAAUCACCGCCCUGCUGUCCCUCCUGCUUUAACCAAUCACCGCCCUGCUGUCCCUCCUGCUUUAACCAAUCACCGCCCUGCUGUCUCCCCUGCCUUUCCUUGGCUUCUUGCCCUCCUCCUUUCCCGGGUUAGCGGAGGUUUGAAUCUGCCCUUGGAACUCCGGGAGGGACUGGGAGGCUGAAGCCUCUUUCCCGCAGAUGAGAAACAGGACAGGGAAAGGCUUUCCUCGCGGGGAGGGCCUCGCAGGGUCCUGCUUGGCUUCAGUGUUACCAACCGAGCCUCUCGUUCACCACCUCUCAGGUGUGUCUCCGUCACAAGAGGGACAGCUCAGGCUUUACUCCUCGCAGACUAAGCUCCAGAGGCAUGUAGGCUUCUGUCAAGUCACCCACACCUUGUCCCAUCCGCCUCGUUUCAGCCCCAUCACGUCCCAACGUCGGAGGCCCAGGGCUCAGCUGGGAAGAACAUCAUUUGGGGGGUGCAGGGGAGACACCACCAGCCCUCCUGGCCUCCCGUCUGUGCUGUGCUCUCACCUCUGCCCCCGUCUGCUGAACAUCAGAUGCGACGUUCCCCUUUCUUUGUAGUUCUUUCUCCCUCUAAGACUCUUCUCUAUCCAU
RNAcentral lists this long non-coding RNA (4381 nucleotides) under Sus scrofa (pig). RNAcentral's name for it is "lncRNA (ENSSSCG00000057883.1)". Lineage: Eukaryota; Metazoa; Chordata; Mammalia; Artiodactyla; Suidae. The record is from RNAcentral.